GCGUCCUUAGCUCAGCUGGAUAGAGCAACGAGCUUCUACCUCGUGGGUCGGGGGUUCGAAUCCCUCAGGGCGCGCCA
This 77-nucleotide transfer RNA is filed under the name Roseomonas fluvialis. RNAcentral describes it as "Roseomonas sp. S08 tRNA-Arg". It matches the Rfam family "tRNA". Rfam says of the family: Transfer RNA (tRNA) molecules are approximately 80 nucleotides in length. Their secondary structure includes four short double-helical elements and three loops (D, anti-codon, and T loops). Further hydrogen bonds mediate the characteristic L-shaped molecular structure. tRNAs have two regions of fundamental functional importance: the anti-codon, which is responsible for specific mRNA codon recognition, and the 3' end, to which the tRNAs corresponding amino acid is attached (by aminoacyl-tRNA synthetases). tRNAs cope with the degeneracy of the genetic code in two manners: having more than one tRNA (with a specific anti-codon) for a particular amino acid; and 'wobble' base-pairing, i.e. permitting non-standard base-pairing at the 3rd anti-codon position. RNAcentral also lists the same sequence under 3 other names. The record is from RNAcentral. Lineage: Bacteria; Pseudomonadati; Pseudomonadota; Alphaproteobacteria; Acetobacterales; Roseomonadaceae.